Molecule: transfer RNA, 76 nt
Filed under: Blepharis ciliaris
Lineage: Eukaryota; Viridiplantae; Streptophyta; Magnoliopsida; Lamiales; Acanthaceae
Description: tRNA-His
Rfam family: tRNA (bases 32-76)
About the family: Transfer RNA (tRNA) molecules are approximately 80 nucleotides in length. Their secondary structure includes four short double-helical elements and three loops (D, anti-codon, and T loops).
Source: RNAcentral
UCAAGGGUUUUAAGGGUAGAAAACAUAGGGGGCGGAUGUAGCCAAGUGGAUCAAGGCAGUGGAUUGUGAAUCCACC